This 727-nucleotide ribosomal RNA is filed under the name uncultured bacterium. Its description in RNAcentral is "bacterial SSU rRNA". It matches the Rfam family "Bacterial small subunit ribosomal RNA", at positions 63 to 763 of the family's 1533-position model. The record is from RNAcentral.
CGAACUUCUUUAUCCCGAGUGCUUGCACUCACCGGUAAAGGGUUGAGUGGCGAACGGGUGAGUAACACGUGGGCAACCUGCCCAAAAGAGGGGGAUAACACUUGGAAACAGGUGCUAAUACCGCAUAACCAUAGUUACCGCAUGGUAGCUAUGUAAAAGGUGGCUAUGCUACCGCUUUUGGAUGGGCCCGCGGCGCAUUAGCUAGUUGGUGGGGUAAAGGCUUACCAAGGCAAUGAUGCGUAGCCGAACUGAGAGGUUGAUCGGCCACAUUGGGACUGAGACACGGCCCAAACUCCUACGGGAGGCAGCAGUAGGGAAUCUUCCACAAUGGGCGAAAGCCUGAUGGAGCAACGCCGCGUGGGUGAAGAAGGUCUUCGGAUCGUAAAACCCUGUUGUUAGAGAAGAAAGUGCGUGAGAGUAACUGUUCACGUUUCGACGGUAUCUAACCAGAAAGCCACGGCUAACUACGUGCCAGCAGCCGCGGUAAUACGUAGGUGGCAAGCGUUAUCCGGAUUUAUUGGGCGUAAAGGGAACGCAGGCGGUCUUUUAAGUCUGAUGUGAAAGCCUUCGGCUUAACCGGAGUAGUGCAUUGGAAACUGGGAGACUUGAGUGCAGAAGGGGAGAGUGGAACUCCAUGUGUAGCGGUGAAAUGCGUAGAUAUAUGGAAGAACACCAGUGGCGAAAGCGGCUCUCUGGUCUGUAACUGACGCUGAGGUUCGAAAGCGUG